Heterocephalus glaber (naked mole-rat) is the source of this 572-nucleotide long non-coding RNA. The record is from Ensembl. NCBI's taxonomy places the organism in Eukaryota, Metazoa, Chordata, Mammalia, Rodentia, Bathyergidae.
CUGCACAGACCAGAAAGCAAACCCUCACUGGAACCAAAUAAGCAGGCACUUUGAUCUUGGACUUCUCAGUCUCCAGAACUGUUCUAAAUUGCCCAGGCUGGCCUUGAAACUGCAGUCAUCCUGCCUCAGCUGGAUGGAUAGCUGGGAUUAUAGGCAUACACCACUACGCCCACCGAAAGUCCAAGUCUUCACAAUGGCCUAGGCUGUCAGAGCUUUUGCUAAGAGGGAACACACAACCAUACUGCUGCAAGUGAAAUCUGCAGUCUGCACUAUUGGAUUGGUUUUGCACGUGGUCUGUUACUAUGUUCAAAGCAUUAAAGAAUCUGCAAGUGGAUUAUCUACAGAGCUUCUCUCUUCACAGAGCUGCAGUUCGGCCUCUUCACUUUCUCUCUCUUGCUUCUCACGAAGACCCUUUGUUUGCUGCCAGCAUCUGCCUACACUGGGUACUAACUUGACCUGGCAUGAUUCUCCCUAUCCCUAGAAGAAACAGCCCACACCUACAUGCCAGGAUGAACUAAGAUUGCUGAGCAAAGCUAGCAACCUUUCUCUGAAGUGGUGUCACAUGCAGACAG